AACCAGACUCCUACGGGAGGCAGCAGUGGGGAAUAUUGGGCAAUGGGCGCAAGCCUGACCCAGCAAUGCCGCGUGAAGGAAGAAGGCUUUCGGGUUGUAAACUUCUUUGACAGGGGAAGAGCAGAAGACGGUACCCUGAAAACAAGCCACGGCUAACUACGUGCCAGCAGCCGCGGUAAUACGUAGGAUGCGAGCGUUAUCCGGAUUUAUUGGGUUUAAAGGGUGCGCAGGCGGCGUGUCAAGUCAGCGGUAAAAUGUCGGGGCUCAACCCCGGCCGGCCGUUGAAACUGGCGUGCUCGAGUUGGAGAGAAGUAUGCGGAAUUCGUGGUGUAGCGGUGAAAUGCAUAGAUAUCACGAAGAACCCCGAUUGCGAAGGCAGCAUACCGGCUCCACACUGACGCUGAGGCACGAAAGCGUGGGUAUCGAACAGGAUUAGAUACCCUGGUA
RNAcentral lists this ribosomal RNA (447 nucleotides) under uncultured bacterium. Its description in RNAcentral is "partial 16S ribosomal RNA". It matches the Rfam family "Bacterial small subunit ribosomal RNA", at positions 329 to 792 of the family's 1533-position model. The record is from RNAcentral.